RNAcentral lists this ribosomal RNA (253 nucleotides) under uncultured bacterium. Its description in RNAcentral is "partial 16S ribosomal RNA". It matches the Rfam family "Bacterial small subunit ribosomal RNA", at positions 524 to 776 of the family's 1533-position model. The record is from RNAcentral.
UACGGGGGGGGCAAGCGUUGUUCGGAAUUACUGGGCGUAAAGGGCUCGUAGGUGGCCAACUAAGUCAGACGUGAAACCCCUCGGCUUAACCGGGGAACUGCGUCUGAUACUGGAUGGCUUGAGUUUGGGAGAGGGAUGCGGAAUUCCGGGUGUAGCGGUGAAAUGCGUAGAUAUCUGGAGGAACACCGGUGGCGAAGGCGGGUCUCUGGGCCGAUACUGACGCUGAGGAGCGAAAGCGUGGGGAGCGAACAGG